This 468-nucleotide ribosomal RNA is filed under the name uncultured bacterium. RNAcentral describes it as "partial 16S ribosomal RNA". It matches the Rfam family "Bacterial small subunit ribosomal RNA", at positions 28 to 507 of the family's 1533-position model. The record is from RNAcentral.
GACGAACGCUGGCGGCGUGCUUAACACAUGCAAGUCGAACGGAAAGGCCCUGCUUGUGGGGGGUGCUCGAGUGGCGAACGGGUGAGUAACACGUGAGUAACCUGCCCUUGACUUUGGGAUAACGUCAGGAAACUGGGGCUAAUACCGGGUAGGAGCUCCUGCUGCAUGGUGGGGGUUGGAAAGUUUCGGCGGUUGGGGAUGGACUCGCGGCUUAUCAGCUUGUUGGUGGGGUAGUGGCUUACCAAGGCUUUGACGGGUAGCCGGCCUGAGAGGGUGACCGGCCACAUUGGGACUGAGCUACGGCCCAGACUCCUACGGGAGGCAGCAGUGGGGAAUAUUGCACAAUGGGCGGAAGCCUGAUGCAGCAACGCCGCGUGCGGGAUGACGGCCUUCGGGUUGUAACCCGCUUUCGCCUGUGACGAAGCGUGAGUGACGGUAAUGGGUAAAGAAGCACCGGCUAACUACGUG